AUGUCUCCAUGGUAAAAACUUCCAUUUAUUUAUGCAUAAUAAUAGAAUCAUACAGACACCAACACACAUCAAUAAUGAAGCCAUUGACUGAUAGAACUCCCACUAGACAACGUUAGGGAUGUUAGUGGUUACAAAUGAAACAAAUGACCCUCAAAAUCAGUCAAUAGAAACUCCCAAAUUAUGCUUAAUGAGAAUAAUAAUAACUCUAAUUGCUGAUGAAGACUUUCCUUAAAGAUCUACACCACAGAGAGAAAGAUCCACAGACAUAAAAACACAUAAACACAGAUAGACUGAACUAUGUACGCACAGCAGGAUGCAACGCGGUGAGUCAUCAAAAGCAACCGGGCAACCGAAAUGUCUAAAAUAAAUGUUCCACCCUCAAAGAUGACGCAAGAGAAACUACAACUUUCAUUGUUUUUUGGAUGAAGAAAAAAUGAUAAUUGUUAAUUGUUUGGAGGUAUUUGGACAAACAAUCCAUGCUACAUAUUUUUUUUCCACCGGCAACACAUUAUGCACCGUCAAUCAUUCCUGCUCUCUCUCUCUUUUCAUUUGUUUUGCCAUCCCUUUGGCUCAUUUCAUUAUUAGUGAGUCUUUCUCAAGACGCUGAUACCGAUCACAGCUACUCAUUUUUACAGCAUUUAUUUUUCAUAGCUUAUUUCAAGCCAAAUAAAGCAAAGAGACAAAAUGUCAGUCGCCGUCCGUUAGCUUGGCACCACUGCUGAAAUCAGUGUGCACAACGCCGCCCAGAUUCCAACCUCAUCCCAACAAAACAUAUAUUAUUCCUUGUCUACCAGAAUGAAAACCCCACAUCCAACCACCCUCACCCAGCUUGAGGCACCCAACUACAACCAGUUCAUUACUAGUCAUCGUAUCGUACAUAGUCCCGUACAAACGAAAGAAAGAAAGGAACCACUCCAACUAUGUGUGGAAAUAUGGGCUAAUAACUAUAAAAGCAAUCGUCACUCGCUAAAUAUACUGCAAAAAAGGUCAGUAAGGAUAAUUCAUUAUGCCGCCUACAGAGAACAUACUAACUCCUUAUUUCUAAAAUCACAAAUACUUCAACUUGCUGAUAUAGUUCAUCUUCAAACAGCUAAAAUAAUGCAUGAGGCUAAAAAUAACCAAUUAGCUAAAAAUGUCAUCCAAUACUUCUCUACAAGAGAGGAGAAAUAUGAUCUCAGGGAAGAAGUACAUUUGAAACACUUAUACGUAUGCUAGGACUAUGUUAAAAAGCCAUAGCAUUUCAGUAUGUGCAAUCAAAUUUAUACAAAUUUCCCCACUGAGGGACGAAUAAAGGCAUAUCUUAAUAUCUUAAUCUUAAAACUAUGGAAUGGAUUGAGUAAGGAAGUCAAACAAUGCACAACGAUGAGCCAAUUCAAGAAACAAUACAAGCAGUUGAUGUUUGCUAAAUACAAGGAUGAAGAGUCUUGAACCAGUCAUGAUGUGCUAUAUAUAUCACUAUAUUGACACUUACUAUGGUACCCAUUAUGUCAUUGGAUGCUCAUAUCACCUCCUACUUCGGUAUGAGGUACAUUAUUAAAAAAAAAACAAAAAAAAAAACUUAAACUGUAUAAUGGAAAGCAGGAAGUGAACAAAUGUAACAGUUACUGAUUGUAAAAGUACCAGAUGGAGGGGUAGGAUUUAAUAAGCUUUGCUUCUUCCUACUCCUUUUGGACAUGUGGAACUGUGAACUGAUUAUGUGAUGCAUUCAAUUGUAAUCUGAUGCAUGUUCAAAGGAAAUUAAACCAUUACCAUUACCAUUACCAUUACCACUAUACAGUCACCACACCAGUCAUCACAAGCUAAAAUUGAAGAAAAAAGCAGCCCAAGCCAUGAUGACACCCCUUCCAUUGUGCCGUGUGGAAAACAUCUCAGUAUACAGCCCUCGGUGGACACCUCAGACACCACUGAUCUACUGUCAGUUGGUUUGGUCAAGUGUGAACUGAAUCCAGCCCAGACCCCCCUGAAGGAUGCACUUCCAAGCAAAAAUGCAAGCAUUACCAGCCGCUUUAUUCGGGCGACACUGCAAAACCAUCAGGGAUUUAUCCAUGUUAUCUAUUAUAAAGCCAAGGUGAAACCAGAACAGGAGAGGUCUAUAUUCAGCCAGGUAACAAACCAGAACUGUGUUGAAUCCAUUACAUGCUAAGCUAACACACACAUACAUCAUUCCCUCAGGCUGAAAUGGAAUAGUCUCAUAUGGGGAUUACACAUUAUGAAUAAGGCAGCGGUGAUGAUGAGUGCAGUCGUAUGAAUAGCAGCCUUUGUGCAGCAAACAGGCUUCCUUGUUGCACAGUGGCCACCUGCCAAUGUGGAGGAAGGGUUUCUAAUCAUCUGACAAGAAAACGGAAAGAAGAUAACAUUACACGGAACAAUAUGAAAACUCACACGAACAGUCACUUUCAAGGUCACAUCCCUGGUUUGCAGCUUCUUCCAUUCUGUAGCUUUAAUUACCGUAAAUCCCAGUGUAUAAGCUGCUACUUUUUUCUUCAACUUUUUUAUUACCCCUGCAGCUAAUACAGCCGUGUGUAGCCACACAUUGGAUGGCCAUAUCACCUCGUACUUUGGUAUAUGACAAAAAAUUUAAAAAAAUUCUAAAUUCAAAAAAAAAAAUAAAAUAAAUAAAUAAAAAUUAAUAAAAAUUAACAAAAUAAAUUUAUAAAUAAAAUAAAUUUGCUAAAUACAAGGAUGAAGAGUCUUGAACCAGUCAUGAUGUGCUAUAUAUAUCACUAUAUUGACACUUACUAUGGUACACAUUAUGUCAUUGGAUGCUCAUAUCACCUCGUACUUCGGUACGAGGUACAUUAUUUAAAAAAAAAAAACUGUAUUAUGGAAAGCAGGAAGUGAACAAAUGUAGCAGUUACUGAUUGUAAAAGUACCAGAUGGAUGGGGUAGGAUUUAAUAAGCUUUGCUUCUUCCUACUCCUUUUGGACAUGUGGAACAGCCACACGGCUGUAUUAACACAACACACAGCACUAAAUUCAUCACACAGCAAUUUAAAAAUCCAAAGGUUUAAAAAAAAAAAGUUUAAAAAAAAAAGAUUUCAAAGUUUUCUCAUAAGGCAUUGCGUGUGAGCCACACACAAACACUAAUAAAUAAGGGGGGUAGUGUCUCAUAGUGUCAACUUACUAGGAACACCGCCCUAACACUAAAUUCAUCACACAGCAACUUAAAAAUCCAAAGGUAUAACGCAGAAAUAUACAAACACGUACCAAUAUGAGUUUUAAAAAAAUUAACUUUUCUCAUAAGGCAUUGCGUGUGAACAACACACAAACAUUAAUAAAUAAUAACAAUAACAAUAAGGCUGUAUAAGUGAUACAGUGAACAAUACAUUUCAUUGUAUCAGUUUCAAGUGCAGUGUUUUUUUUCCGAGUCGUUCAGACCUUGGUUAUGGGGUUUGAGUGAAUUACAGGAGAGGACUUAAAGUGAGAGGAGUGAGUUUGGCUCGGGUUCGGGUUCCUUUUAUAAUUCUAAUCACUACAUUGAGACCAUCAGAAAUGAUUCGGAGCAUUAUAACAACAAAAUCAAAUCAAUCCAGCUACUUCGGCACAAUUUGACAGCUGUGACCUAACCAAUCUGUAUGAUUGUGUGAUCCUCCGUUUGAUGGGAACGAUAAGAACGAGGGAAAUCAAUAAGCAGAGGAGCCAGUAAUUAUUGUGCAUUAGUACAUCAUUCCUACCAUUUCCCUCCAGCCUCAAUGGCAAGCAGAGGAAGAUACCAUUAACGACUGAGGCGGCUUUGAUUCCUUGCGCCUUUAGAAGAGAAGCUUAAACACGAUCAAUGCAGCGUUUCCUCCUGACUCACUUAGCUCAGUGGAUUUCAGACAGCAGCGGAAUGAAUGGGAAUGAUAAACUUAAGCAUGUAAAGGAGAUGAUGCUGCAAGCCUACUGAACUAAGCAAUUGAUAUGACAGUCUGGAGUCUUUGUAGCAGGAUGCAAAUUAACCUUCUAAGACACAAAUUCAUCGGAAAAGAGAAUCACAGUCAGUGAACUUCAGACAAACAAAGACAGUUUCUGUCAAAUGCAGAUUUAAGGUCCACCAUUUGAUAAUGUUUGUUGUUUUAGCAUUAAUUUAAUAACCAUGCACCACAUACAGGGAUACCUCGGUUAUCGUCCGCUCCGGUUAGCAUGUUUUUCGGUUAACAACCAAAUUUGGAAACCUGUGAGGGUGGGUGUAAUAACUUAAAACAAACCAUCAUGAAGAUCGUCAUCAUUUCAGAGGUAUAUGUAAAUAUGACAGGAAUGCCUGGAGGUGGCCCGUGGGUGGAAUAACUUAAAAAAAACUUUUUGAAAAAUCCAGUGGAAAUACAGAUAGGAAUAGGUGCCGAUUCUGGAAGAUCUAAAAAGCUUUCUGUGCAGGUUAUCAUGAAGAUCGUCAUCAUUUCAGAGGUAUAUGUAAAUAUGACAGGAAUGCCUGAAGGUGGCCCGUGGGUGGAAUAACUUAAAAAAAAAACGUUUUGAAAAAUCCAGUGGAAAUACAGAUAGGAAUAGGUGCUGAUUCUGGAAGAUCUAGAAAGCUUUCUGCGCAGGUUAUCAUGAAGAUCGUCAUCAUUUCAGAGGUAUAUGUAAAUAUGACAGGAAUGCCCGAAGGUGGCCUGUGGGUGGAAUAACUUAAACCGUUUUGAAAAAUCUAGCGGAAAUACAGCUGGAAUAGGUGCCGAUUCUGGAAGAUCUAGAAAGCUUUCUGUGCAGGUUAUCAUGAAGAUCGUCAUCAUUUUCAGAGGUAUAUGUAAAUAUGACAGGAAUGCCCGGAGGUGGCCCGUGGGUGGAAUAACUUAAACUGUUUUCAAGAAUCCAGUUGAAAUACAGCUGGAAUAGGUGCCAAUUCUGGAAGAUCUAGAAAGCUUUCUGCGCAGGUUAUCAUGAAGAUCGUCAUCAUUUCUGACGUACAUGUAAAUAUGACAGGAAUGCCCGGAGGUGGCCCGUGAGUGGAAUAACUUAAACCGUUUUGAAAAAUCCAGUGGAAAAACAGCUGGAAUAGGUGCCGAUUCUGGAAGAUCUAGAAAGCUUUCUGUGCAGGUUAUCAUGAAGAUCAUCAUAAUUUCAAAGGUACAUAUAAAUAUGACAGAAAUGCCCGGAGGUGGCCCGUGGGUGGAAUAACUUAAACCGUUUUGAAAAAUCCAGUGGAAAUACAGCUGGAAAAGGUGCCGAUUCUGGAAGAUCUAAAAAGCUUUCUGCGCAGGUUAUCAUGAAGAUCGUCAUCAUUUCAAAGGUAUAUGUAAAUAUGACAGGAAUGCCUGAAGGUGGCCCGUGGGUGGAAUAACUUAAAACAAACCGUUUUGAAAAAUCCAGUGGAAAUACAGCUGGAAUAGGUGCCGAUUCUGGAAGAUCUAGAAAGCUUUCUGUGCAGGUUAUCAUGAAGAUCGUCAUCAUUUCAGAGGUAUAAUAAAUAGGACAGGAAUGCCCGGAGGUGGCCCGUGGGUGCAAUAACUUAAACCGUGUUGAAAAAUCCAGUGGAAAUACAGCUGGAAUAGGUGCUGAUUCUGGAAGAUCUAGAAAGCUUUCCGUGCAGGUUAUCAUGAAGAUUGUCGUCAUUUCAGAGGUAUAUGUAAAUAUGACAGGUGGCCCGUGGGUGGAAGAACUUAAAACAAACCAUUUUGAAAAAUCCAGUGGAAAAACAGCUGGAAUAGGUGCCGAUUCUGGAAGAUCUAAAAAGCUUUCUGCGCAGGUUAUCAUGAAGAUCGUCAUCAUUUCAGAGGUAUAAUAAAUAUGACAGGAAUGCCCGGAGGUGGCUUAUGGGUGGAAUAACUUAAACUGUUUUGAAGAAUCCAGUUGAAAUACAGCUGGAAUAGGUGCCAAUUCUGGAAGAUCUAGAAAGCUUUCUGUGCAGGUUAUCAUGAAGAUCGUGAUCAUUUCAGAGGUAUAUGUAAAUAUGACAGGAAUGCCUGAAGGUGGCCCGUGGGUGGAAUAACUUAAAAAAAAACGUUUUGAAAAAUCCAGUGGAAAUACAGCUGGAAUAGGUGCCAAUUCUGGAAGAUCUAGAAAGCUUUCUGCGCAGGUUAUCAUGAAGAUCGUCAUCAUUUUCAGAGGUAUAUGUAAAUAUGACAGGAAUGCCCGAAGGUGGCCCGUGGGUAGAAUAACUUAAACUGUUUUGAAGAAUCCAAUUGAAAUACAGCUGGAAUAGGUGCCGAUUCUGGAAGAUCUAGAAAGCUUUCUGUGCAGGUUAUCAUGAAGAUCGUCAUCAUUUCAGAAGUAUAUGUAAAUAUGACAGGAAUGCCUGAAGGUGGCCCGUGGGUGGAAUAACUUAAACCGUUUUGAAAAAUCCAGUGGAAAUACAGCUGGAAUAAGUGCCGAUUCUGGAAGAUCUAGAAAGCUUUCCGUGCAGGUUAUCAUGAAGAUCGUCAUCAUUUCGGAGGUAUAAUAAAUAUGACAGGAAUGCCCGGAGGUGGCCCGUGGGUGAAAUAACUUAAAACAAACCGUUUUGAAAAAUACAGCUGGAAUAGGUGCCAAUUCUGGAAGAUCUAAAAAGCUUUCUGUGCAGGUUAUCAUGAAGAUCGUCAUCAUUUCACAUGUAUAUGUAAAUAUGACAGGAAUGCCUGGAGGUGGCCCGUGGGUGGAAUAACUUAAAACAAACCAUUUUGACAAAUACAGCUGGAAUAGGUGCCGAUUCUGGAAGGUCUACAAAGCUUUCUGCGCAGGUUAUCAUGAAGAUCGUCAUCAUUUCAGAGGUAUAAUAAAUAUGACAGGAAUGCCCCGGAGGUGGCCCGUGGGUGGAAUAACUUAAACUGUUUUGAAGAAUCCUGUUGAAAUACAGCUGGAAUAGGUGCCGAUUCUGGAAGAUCUAAAAAGCUUUCUGUGCAGGUUAUCAUGAAGAUCGUCAUCAUUUCAGAGGUAUAAUAAAUAUGACAGGAAUGCCUUAAGGUGGCCCGUGGGUGGAAUAACUUAAACCGUUUUGAAAAAUCCAGUGGAAAAACAGCUGCAAUAGGUGCUGAUUCUGGAAGAUCUAGAAAGCUUUCUGCGCAGGUUAUCAUGAAGAUCGUCAUCAUUUUCAGAGGUAUAUGUAAAUAUGACAGGUGGCCCGUGGGUGGAAGAACUUAAA
This is a non-coding RNA of Doryrhamphus excisus (bluestripe pipefish), 7032 nucleotides long. The record is from RefSeq and is a predicted model, not a curated record. Lineage: Eukaryota; Metazoa; Chordata; Actinopteri; Syngnathiformes; Syngnathidae.